CUGCAGCUCGAGUGGUGAUCGAUUUUAUUGAGCCUAAAGCGUCCGUAGCCGGACUAGUAAACCCUUGGGUAAAUUGGGCAGCUUAACUGUCCAAAUUCCGAGGGGACUGCUAGUCUUGGGACCGGGAGAGGUCAGAGGUACUCAAGGGGUAGGGGCUAAAUCCUGUAAUCCUUUGGGGACCACCAGUGGCGAAGGCGUCUGACUAGAACGGAUCCGACGGUAAGGGACGAAACCCUGGGGCGCGAACCGGAUUAGAUACCCGAGUAGUCC
This 270-nucleotide ribosomal RNA is filed under the name uncultured archaeon. Its description in RNAcentral is "partial 16S ribosomal RNA". It matches the Rfam family "Archaeal small subunit ribosomal RNA", at positions 477 to 747 of the family's 1478-position model. The record is from RNAcentral.